Molecule: long non-coding RNA, 461 nt
Organism: Neltuma alba
Lineage: Eukaryota; Viridiplantae; Streptophyta; Magnoliopsida; Fabales; Fabaceae
Exons: 2
Source: RefSeq, a predicted model, not a curated record
AGCUAGAUGUAAUUGAGCCAUUAUUGAAGGCGUGCAAAUCCAUAGAGAAGUAUGCACAAAAGUGCAAGAGGCUGGUUUUCGCGUACGGACCUGUGAUGCUUGUCAAAGCGGAGAAGUUCCUGGAAAGAACGGAUAUAUGCACUGCAUUACGUGCUUGCAAAGCUUCCACAAUUGAUAUGGAAGCCAAAGACAUGAAAGAAACUGCCUUGCUUUCCGACUUUUAAUUAUUGAAGUGAAAGAAGCCUCCUUGGAAAGAAAUAGAUACUACCAUCACUCUGCAAAGUUACAAGCAAUAGCAGAGUUGCGCUUUACUUCUAGUGCAGCUGUGUCUGCGUCAGAAAUUAAAAUGCUUGUAUCCACUUCAUGUGCUUCUUAUACGAUCGCUUCUGAUACUUGCUGAAGAAUCAGACCUGAUAAUAUAUGCAUUUAAUCAUUCUGAGAGCGCGGUAUUUGUCUCGGCA